This 497-nucleotide ribosomal RNA is filed under the name uncultured bacterium. Its description in RNAcentral is "partial 16S ribosomal RNA". It matches the Rfam family "Bacterial small subunit ribosomal RNA", at positions 28 to 507 of the family's 1533-position model. The record is from RNAcentral.
GAUGAACGCUGGCGGCGUGCCUAAUACAUGCAAGUCGAGCGAACAGACGAGGUGCUUGCUCCUCUGACGUUAGCGGCGGACGGGUGAGUAACACGUGGAUAACCUACCUAUAAGACUGGGAUAACUUCGGGAAACCGGAGCUAAUACCGGAUAAUAUAUUUAACCGCAUGGUUCAAUAGUGAAAGACGGUUUUGCUGUCCCUUAUAGAUGGAUCCGCGCCGCAUUAGCUAGUUGGUAAGGUAACGGCGUACCAAGGCAACGAUGCGUAGCCGACCUGAGAGGGGGAUCGGCCACACUGGAACUGAGACACGGUCCAGACUCCUACGGGAGGCAGCAGUAGGGAAUCUUCCGCAAUGGGCGAAAGCCUGACGGAGCAACGCCGCGUGAGUGAUGAAGGUCUUCGGAUCGUAAAACUCUGUUAUUAGGGAAGAACAAAUGUGUAAGUAACUAUGCACGUCUUGACGGUACCUAAUCAGAAAGCCACGGCUAACUACGUG